CCCAACGAACAUACCACGCUGAAUACAUCCGUUCCCCUCCGAUUACCCAAAUUAAACCACCUCCGGCGCCGUUAAUACUUAAAAGGGGGAACGCUUGGGAACACCGCGUGUUGUUGGCC
RNAcentral lists this ribosomal RNA (119 nucleotides) under Drosophila yakuba. The record is from RNAcentral. Lineage: Eukaryota; Metazoa; Arthropoda; Insecta; Diptera; Drosophilidae.